UUUUAUACUGAUUUGUAUUCAAUGUGAAUCCUAAUCCAGUCCCCUUUGGUUGCAAGGGAUUUCUCUUCAGAUCAAUGGCUUCUUUUCGAGUACGGUAAUGAUGAUUAUCGCACAUUCUUCUUUUACUCGUUGAUACAAUGUCUCACCAGUUGAGAACUCUCUUUCUAUUUCUGACUAUUACACAGUGAAUCUAACUAGACU
Molecule: long non-coding RNA, 201 nt
Filed under: Nicotiana benthamiana
Lineage: Eukaryota; Viridiplantae; Streptophyta; Magnoliopsida; Solanales; Solanaceae
Description: long non-coding RNA (NBEN_LNC025164)
Source: RNAcentral